Molecule: long non-coding RNA, 585 nt
Filed under: Sus scrofa (pig)
Lineage: Eukaryota; Metazoa; Chordata; Mammalia; Artiodactyla; Suidae
Description: lncRNA (ENSSSCG00070001819.1)
Source: RNAcentral
UGGGAGCGGCUCCAGAGAAGACAAGACGAAAUAAAUAAAUAAAUAAUAAAAUUAAUCAUAGUAAAAUACAUACAUCAUAAAAUUUAGCAAUUUGUCAUAAAUUUUGACCGUUUUGAAGCAUAGAGUUCAGGAAGGUGCAUGUGCACGCACACACGCACACAGUCACACACUCACACACUCGUGUUGUUGUGCAGGUCGUCUUAGAUACCUUUUUAACUGAAGCAUAACUACUCCAAAAACGUGCUCAAAUCGUGGAGACAGAGCUCGGUGCCUCCUCAGAGUGGACCUUCCUGGAUCAUCCAGUCCAGAUCGGAAGAGAAUCUAAUUCACGCACCAUUUGGUUUGGGAAGAAAGACCUGUGGAAGAGGCGGGGCUUUCAGCUGGAGCCUUUCUCCCAAUCCUCCCGAGCUCGCCCAAGGCUCCCCACCCACACUGGGUGGGAAAACCAUCUAGCGAGAGUUUCACCGCUCAUUUCGCAAAUGGUAAGUUCCUUCCGCCUGGUUUGCUCUGUCCUGUGUCCACGGACCCUCUCGGCCCCCGGGCCUGAUCGAGGGUCUCUAACCCUGUCAGAUGCUCCCUCUCCGU